Molecule: long non-coding RNA, 1569 nt
Organism: Betta splendens (Siamese fighting fish)
Lineage: Eukaryota; Metazoa; Chordata; Actinopteri; Anabantiformes; Osphronemidae
Source: Ensembl
AUGACAGAUGCCCAUAGAAUCAAUGCCUCACUGCUUUCUGUGAUACUACGAGUACUCGAGUAUUGGUACUUCUAUCACCUGUGUCGCACUUCCGCCACUUUGUGCGCUUUGCGGCCGCAGCAGCAGGGGGCGCUGCUCACCCUCCACCGCCAGGUAAGCGUCCAGGUCCACGUGCGCGACCCCGACUCUUCACUUUGGUGGUUUGGUGCUUUACGUCGGGGACGUGUGGCUCCGUCGAGGUCCGCCAUGAGCCGGCGCGAGGAACGUCCAGCCGUGAGUUCCCAUCGCUUUCGCUCCACUGACCUCGACGGCAGGCACGUGCGUCCAGGCGGCCGAAUGUGCGCGUGUCCUCCGCAGCAGAGCUCCAGGGCGGCCGUGCUGCCCCCCCUGUCCGGCCGGACCCUGCACCACCCCUCCUUCCUGCCUCACUACACCACCGCGCACUUUGGACGCCAGCGCAGGAACGGUCACAACCAGGAAGCCCACCCCAUCAUCCCAGCGGAGUUCUUCUACAGCGACCCCGCCAUGUGCCGUGGCACCAGGAUCCACAACGAAGUGACUGGCCUGAGGGUUCUGGAGUUUUUCAAGCUCAACACUCCGCCCCCAGUCAUGUCCGCUGGUCUGGCAACACCAAACAGACCAGACCCCUUCGGAUGUGGACCGCAUCCCAUGCGAGACCUGGGCAGCGCCAGCUGGAUGCUGCCACACCUCCGUCCAGUGCAUCCGAGGCACGUCAUCGUCCAGCUUUCCCAGGAGGAGGACCAGGUCAUCACCAACCUCCUGAAACUGCACCACCAGAGUCCAUUAGCAGGUUCUGAAAGCUCCAGCGCUGCUAAACUGGACUUUUUCAGUGCUGCAGGGCCACCUCUGGGCUUUAACUCCAGGCCGUUCCUCCAGGCGCCAGAACACCACACUUUACACCAUGAUGUGCAGCCGAGUGCUUGGUCCGAUUCAGAGCUGGAGGCAGCAAACACUCUCGUGAGUUGCUUUGUCUCAUCACAGGGCGAUGAAAUCUGCCACCAGUAUGAAUACGGAUGUGCAGAAAGAGGUCUGGGGCUUCUGCCAGACCAGCUUUCAUCCUCAGGCACUAACAGCCCACGUGGACCUGAGGCUCCGCCUGCAUCCAGUCCCCACUCACAGAGCGCCCUGGCUUCCUGUUGCAUGGGGCCGAAGGUGGACGCCAGCAGGCCGGACGUCGCGUCAGCGGAGGACGGGCUGACGUCUGGAGGUCUGGCAGAGGUGAGGGGUCAGACGCUGGCGGACUCAGAGGGGGACGCUGUGCAUGUGCUCUUGAGCCUCGGGGAGGUGGAGCCUGUUGGACCUAUGCAGUGACUGUAUUCAAGAGCAUGAUCACAUGUUUAUCAGUAUAUUAAACUCAGGUUCCAUAUUUUGCAUUUUGCAGUUUUUUUGCACAGCAUUUUUUUAAUGAAUACAUAACACCUUUUUUUCCAAGAAUGAGAAUUUAUUUCCCACUUUAAAUAACCAGUAUUUUCAUGCCUGUAUUGCACAAACCUUGUUCUUUUCUUAGUGUUCAAUAAAAAUAAUCCCCACUUGAGCCUGUUACUUAAA